Molecule: long non-coding RNA, 646 nt
Organism: Drosophila willistoni
Lineage: Eukaryota; Metazoa; Arthropoda; Insecta; Diptera; Drosophilidae
Exons: 3
Source: RefSeq, a predicted model, not a curated record
UUAAAGGAAACAGAGACAUUCUACUGUAAAGACUCUUCUUUGUCCUUAUUCAGAAUAUGUGCAAACUUAAGCUUGAUUAAUAUGUAUAGGUCAUGUAUAUUCAUUUUGAGGUGGGGAGGAACAAAGACGUUCGACACGUGCUCAUACAUUCUAUACAUUCUCUAUUGUUACCAUGACAAUCACUGGCACACAAUGUCUGGUUUAAUUUAAAGCCAGAAACGUGUGAAAAGCUACUUGAAUUGAAAUUUCAAAUUCCCAAUACCCAAUUGAUUUUGGAGAUGGAGAUAGGAGAGACAGAGGCUGGGAGAAAGGAUGAACUGAUUAUGCUGUGAGUGGCCAGGCGACAAUUUCAUUUGGCCAACGUUGGCGAUAAACUUAUACAGCAAUUGAAAAGUGCUCGAGGCGUUGGAUGGACCGAAGAUGGUAGAUGAAGGGCGUCGAAAAAGCCUGGUCUUUUUUGCUCUGCCCCCUUUUCGUUUCGAAACGAAAACGAAACGAAUUGCAGACGAAAGCGAUAGAUUAUACAGUAGCAAUGUGUCGACAGCGAGACGAUGACGUUGUGGAUUAUAGGAGAAUGAGGUCGUCGAAGGAUACUGCAUUGCUUGUGUAAGACGCCGAGCGGACAUUAUGCAUACAUAUAUGUAUG